AGUCACUGACAUUAGAUACCCGGGUAGUCCCAGCCGUAAACGAUGCGCGUUAGGCGUAUCGACGACCACGUGUUACUGAUGUGCCGAAGAGAAAUCGUGAAACGCACCACCUGGGAAGUACGGUCGCAAGGCUGAAACUUAAAGGAAUUGGCGGGGAGCACCACAACAGGUGGAGCCUGCGGUUUAAUUGGAUUCAACGCCGGACAUCUCACCGGAUAAGACAGCUGAAUGAUUGUCAAUCUGAAGGUUUUACAUGACUAGCUG
Molecule: ribosomal RNA, 264 nt
Filed under: uncultured archaeon
Lineage: Archaea
Description: partial 16S ribosomal RNA
Rfam family: Archaeal small subunit ribosomal RNA
Source: RNAcentral